GGGAGCGAAGCAAUUGGAAGUGGUUCCAAGAAAAGCCUCUAAGCUUCAGUCUAACGAUGACCGUACCGCAAACCGACACAGGUGGGCGAGAUGAGUAUUCUAAGGCGCUUGAGAGAACUCGGGAGAAGGAACUCGGCAAAUUGGUACCGUAACUUCGGGAUAAGGUACGCCCUUGUAGCUUGACUGGCCUGCGCCAGGAGGGUGAAGGGGUUGCAAUAAACUGGUGGCUGCGACUGUUUAAUAAAAACACAGCACUCUGCAAACACGAAAGUGGACGUAUAGGGUGUGACGCCUGCCCGGUGCCGGAAGAUUAAAUGAUGGGGUGCAAGCUCUUGAUUGAAGUCCCGGUAAACGGCGGCCGUAACUAUAACGGUCCUAAGGUAGCGAAAUUCCUUGUCGGGUAAGUUCCGACCUGCACGAAUGGCGUAACGAUGGCCACACUGUCUCCUCCCGAGACUCAGCGAAGUUGAAGUGUUUGUGAUGAUGCAAUCUACCCGCGGCUAGACGGAAAGACCCCAUGAACCUUUACUGUAGCUUUGCAUUGGACUUUGAACCGAUCUGUGUAGGAUAGGUGGGAGGCUAUGAAACCGGAACGCUAGUUUCGGUGGAGCCGUCCUUGAAAUACCACCCUGGUUUGUUUGAGGUUCUAACCUUGGCCCGUGAUCCGGGUCGGGGACAGUGCAUGGUAGGCAGUUUGACUGGGGCGGUCUCCUCCCAAAGCGUAACGGAGGAGUACGAAGGUACGCUAGGUACGGUCGGAAAUCGUGCUGAUAGUGCAAUGGCAUAAGCGUGCUUAACUGCGAGACCGACAAGUCGAGCAGGUGCGAAAGCAGGUCAUAGUGAUCCGGUGGUUCUGUAUGGAAGGGCCAUCGCUCAACGGAUAAAAGGUACUCUGGGGAUAACAGGCUGAUACCGCCCAAGAGUUCAUAUCGACGGCGGUGUUUGGCACCUCGAUGUCGGCUCAUCUCAUCCUGGGGCUGUAGCCGGUCCCAAGGGUAUGGCUGUUCGCCAUUUAAAGAGGUACGUGAGCUGGGUUUAAAACGUCGUGAGACAGUUUGGUCCCUAUCUGCCGUGGGCGUUGGAUAUUUGAAGGGGGCUGCUCCUAGUACGAGAGGACCGGAGUGGACGAACCUCUGGUGUACCGGUUGUCACGCCAGUGGCAUCGCCGGGUAGCUAUGUUCGGAAGAGAUAACCGCUGAAAGCAUCUAAGCGGGAAACUCGCCUUAAGAUGAGAUAUCCCUGGGGACUAGAUCCCCUUGAAGGGUCGUUCGAGACCAGGACGUUGAUAGGUCAGGUGUGUAAGCGCAGUAAUGCGUUCAGCUAACUGAUACUAAUUGCCCGUAAGGCUUGAUCCU
RNAcentral lists this ribosomal RNA (1355 nucleotides) under Burkholderia cepacia. RNAcentral describes it as "partial 23S ribosomal RNA". It matches the Rfam family "Bacterial large subunit ribosomal RNA", at positions 1581 to 2925 of the family's 2925-position model. Lineage: Bacteria; Pseudomonadati; Pseudomonadota; Betaproteobacteria; Burkholderiales; Burkholderiaceae. The record is from RNAcentral. RNAcentral also lists the same sequence under 7 other names.